RNAcentral lists this non-coding RNA (74 nucleotides) under Ruminococcus sp. The record is from RNAcentral. RNAcentral also lists the same sequence under 1 other name. Lineage: Bacteria; Bacillati; Bacillota; Clostridia; Eubacteriales; Oscillospiraceae.
AUUAUAUUUGGAGAAGUGCGGUGAAAAUCCGUCGCAACAGCCAUUACCGUUAAAGUCGGGUCGCCUUGUAUAAU